AGCUUAAAGUUUUAUUUUAAGUGAAACCUGCCCAGUGCGCUAUAUGUAAACGGCCGCAGUACCUUGACUGUGCUAAGGUAGCAUAAUAAUUUGGCCUUUAAAUGGGGUCGAGUAUGAAUGGGAUCAUAGGGUGAAGCUGUCUCUACCUCACUUAAUUUAACUUAUUUAUUAGGUGAAAAUACCUAAUUAAAGAUAAAAGACGAGAAGACCCUAGGAGUUUUAACUAAAGGAUUAGCAUUACUCUUACGUUUUCGUUGGGGCGACGUAGAGAGAUUAUAAAACUCUCUUUAAUUUAUUUGCCGACUUUGUAUGAAGAAUUAAACUACCCUAGGGAUAACAGCGUAAUUCUUUGUGAGCUUGCGACCUCGAUGUUGGACUAGGAAUUCGGUAGGCUAGCCGCCUAUUUAUAUUGUUCUGUUCGAACUAAUUUUCC
This 433-nucleotide ribosomal RNA is filed under the name Sohgenia palauensis. Its description in RNAcentral is "partial 16S ribosomal RNA". It matches the Rfam family "Bacterial large subunit ribosomal RNA", at positions 1829 to 2595 of the family's 2925-position model. The record is from RNAcentral. Lineage: Eukaryota; Metazoa; Mollusca; Gastropoda; Caliphyllidae.